AUGGAGUGCAACAAGGAUGAGGCCCUUAGGGCGAAGGAAAUUGCAGAGAGGAAGUUCCAAUCCAGGGACCUGCAGGGGGCCAAGAAAUUCGCCCUCAAGGCCAAGGCUCUCUUUCCGGAUCUUGAAGGUAUUGUGCAGCUGAUCACCACCUUGGAUGUUUACCUUACUUCGGAGGUGAAGAUUGCUGGUGGGAAGGACUGGUACUCUAUCCUUUCCGUGGACAUGUCGGCAGAUGAUGAAACUCUGAAGAAGCAGUACAGGAAGUUGGUGCUCCAGCUCCAUCCCGACAAGAACAAGUCAGUUGGUGCUGAGGGUGCUUUCCAGAUGGUUCAAGAGGCAUGGACGGUGCUGUCCGACAAAACCAAGAGAGCGCUGUUUGACCAAAAAAGGAAAUUGAUUGCAAUGCAACAGAAGACAUCUCAAUCAAAUAAGACAAGUGCAGCCAAUGGCUUUGAACAUUUCGCAGCCAAAGCACCCGCUUCCAAGGCAAGUGCAAACAAGGAAAAGACAGGAUCAGCAACAUCUGCAGUGCGUCAGCGCCCGCCCCCGCCCCCACCCCCACAGCGCCCGCCUCCACCCCCACCCCCACAGCGCCCGCUUCCUCGCCAUCAGGCUGCUGCUCCAGCUCCACCUCCAGCAGCACAACCUACAUUUUGGACCUCAUGCAACAAAUGCAAGAUGAAUUUUGAAUACCUCAGAGAGUAUUUAAAUCGCAAUCUGCUUUGCCCUAGCUGCCGCGAGCCAUUCAUAGCAAAAGAGGUGCCGAUGCCACCACCUGAGGUUGUUCAGGCAGUACGUGAUUCAAACAUCCGCGGUGCAACUGAAGAUGCAAGCACUGGCAGAAAGUUUCAGUGGGGUCUGUUCUCAAGGACAGCUGGUCCAGCUAGUGCUACUGCAUCAUCUGCUGCUGGUGCUCAAGCUGCUAAUAUGGUUCAUCAGACGUAUGAGAAAGUCAAGAGAGAGAGGGAGGAGGCACAAGCUGCAGCAAGAAGGGAAGAAGCUCUUCAGAGGAAGCACAAUCCUCUAAAAAGGAAAGCAAAUGUGUCCGAGAAUGUUAACCAUGGAAUGGGUGAUGUUGCAUCUGGGAAGAAGAUGAAAACUGUGGGUAAAGAUGCUGGAGUUGGUUCUUCCUCCAUUCUCUCAGGUGCAUGGGCCAAUUAUGUUGGAACGCCAGGUGGAACUAUACCAUUUUCAACCAACAGUGGAGCCUUUGAGUUUCAAGGUGCUAAUGGCGUGAUACCCAAUUGGAGACCCAGGCCUUCUACUCGGAUCAGCGUAACUAGGACUUUCUCUAAGAAGGAUAUUAGGAGCAUUUUGAUUGACAAGAUGAAGAGCGAUUUGAGAGAGAAGGUGAAGGAGAUAAGAAGUAAACCAGUCCAAGUUACAGUUAAUGGAAAAGCUAGCGAGAAACAUGUGGUUAACAAACAUGUUGAGGGUAAUGAAAGUCUUGCAUCAGAUGAUUCUACUGCAAACAAAGAUGCCUGUGCUGAUCCAGAGGAGAAUGGUUCUGCUAAUAGCGCAGAUGCUGAAAAUGAAGAUGACAACACUUUCUCCUAUACUGUCCCUGAUCCUGAUUUCCAUGAUUUUGACAAGGAUCGUACCGAGGAAUCUUUUCAGAGUGAUCAAAUUUGGGCUUCAUAUGAUGAUGAAGAUGGUAUGCCUCGUUAUUAUGCAUAUAUUCAGAAAGUUAUCUCCUUGACUCCAUUUAAGGUCAAAAUAAGUUAUCUCGCAUCGAGGACAAAUAGUGAGUUUGGACCACUGAAUUGGGCUUCUUCCGGCUUCAUAAAGACAUGCGGUGAUUUCAGGAUUGGUAAAUAUGAAACCAUUGAUAUAAUCAACAUGUUCUCUCACCAGAUUAAAUGGGAGAAAGGUCCACGUGGGGUGGUCAAAAUUUAUCCGCGGAAAGGCGAUAUCUGGGCUUUGUACCGAAAUUGGUCCCCUGAUUGGAGCGGAGAUACUCCUGAUAGUGUGCUUCAUGUUUAUGAUCUGGUUGAGGUACUGGAUGAUUAUGAUGAAGAUAUUGGAAUUUCUGUCAUUCCCUUGAUUAAGGUUACUGGAUUUCGAACAGUUUUCCAGCAUCAUCAGGACCAGGAUGUCAUCAAGAGGAUUCCAAAAGAAGAGAUGUUUCGGUUUUCACACCAGGUUCCCUUUUACAGGAUGUCAGGGGAAGAAGCUCCAAAUGUCUCCAAAGAUAGCUAUGAGGUAGAUCCAGCUGCUAUCUCUAAAGAACUUCUUCAGGGAAUCACAGAAACUGUGAAGGAGGCAGAGGGAACUUCUAAAUGCUGA
This 2286-nucleotide ribosomal RNA is filed under the name Triticum aestivum (bread wheat). Its description in RNAcentral is "partial small subunit ribosomal RNA". The record is from RNAcentral. Lineage: Eukaryota; Viridiplantae; Streptophyta; Magnoliopsida; Poales; Poaceae.